AGCCUCCUACUCUCCCGGGUUCCGCUGGUCGGGCCAGGAGAGGAUGGGUGACCAGGAGGCCCAGGAGAUGCUUGUAUAUAAUUGGGUGGGAUAUUCUGAGCUCUAGCUCAGGAGUCCCACUCUUCCUGGAUGGGGAAAGGAUGUGGGAUGAGGGCAGAGGGAGGUCUCUCUCUCUCCUGCCUCUUGUGAAUUAACUUGCCUCUCCUCAGCCUUCCCCUCCAGACCACCAGCCUGGGAGGGGAGAGGAAGGAGGUCACAGCCCAGAAAACUGGCCUGUGGCAGCUUCCCUCCUUUCCAUCAAUGUGAGCCAUCUUGAGAUGUCUGUACAAUAGAAACCAAACCAAAUGGGCACCCUGGGUUGCCCAGGGGCAGGGGAUGGGAGGGGGGUGGGAAGAAGGGAUGUCUGUCUGUCAGUCCCCUCCCCCUCUCCACUCCUUACCCACAAAGGCAAAAGACUGUUACACUAGGGGCUCCACAGAUCCAAUCCCACCCUUGCUGAGUGAGCCUUUCCUAGAAACAAGCGCAAAAGUGAGCGAGCAGCAAAACAAAGCAAUGGGGGAGUGAGAUGGGCGACCAACAGAGGAGAGGAAACAAAAAU
Molecule: long non-coding RNA, 598 nt
Filed under: Mus musculus (house mouse)
Lineage: Eukaryota; Metazoa; Chordata; Mammalia; Rodentia; Muridae
Description: long non-coding RNA chr3:88538537-88539135
Source: RNAcentral